UUGCGUUUGUUAGAAAACACAAAUGUUGAACAAGUAGUAAUCUUGUUUGAACAAUAAAAAAUUUGAUAGCUAUAUUUUUUUUUACCUAUUUUUAUGUUUUAUUUUUAGGCUAAAUUGCACUUUUGGCCCCCUAAGUUUCAGAAACUUGCAAUUUUGGCCCCUUAUAUUUCAAAAUAGCACUUAUAGCCCCCUAAGUUUCAAAAAGUUGCGAUUUUGGCCCCCUAUGUUUCAAAAUAGCAAUUUUGGCCCCCUAAGUUUCAGUAGUUGCGAUUUUGGCCACCUAUGUUUCAAAAUAGCNNNNNGACUCAGCUGCCACGUCAACAUUUUUUUGUCAUCUUAUACUUAAAAAAACUAAAAGAAUAAAAAAAUAAAAGGAAGAAGUCACAUGCUUUAAAUUUAUUCUUUCACUACGUUCAAAAAAAAAAUUAAAAUUUAUUCUUUCACUAACACACAUAUAUAAUCUCAAAUCCUAAAGAAUUAACCAAAUACUUCGUGACGUUUAUUCAAAAGGAUUUUUCACUAUACGUAAAAAAAAAAACCUAAUUCCAAAUCCAAAAAUAGGAAACAAUGGAAAUUGAAAACUCUUCGUGCUUUUUGUUAUGUCUUUUUAAUUAUGUAAUAACUUCAUAUAUGUAAUGACUUGAUUUGUUAUGUCAUUUUGAUUUAGAAAAGUGUCUUGAACUUCCAUUUAGAAAAGUGUCUUGAACUUUCAUUUUGCAAAAGGGGUUAACAUAGGGGGCCAAAAUUGCUAUUUUGAAAUAUAGGAGGCCAAAAUAGCAACUUUUUGAAAUUUAGGGGGCCAAAAGUGCUAUUUUGAAACAUAGGGGGUCAAAAUUGCAACUUCCUGAAACUUAGGGGGCCAAAAGUGCUAUUUUGAAAUAUAGGGGACCAAAAUCGCAACUUUCUGAAACUUAAGGGGCCAAAAGUGCAAUUUAGCCUUAUUUUUAUUAGUAAUUUAUGGUUUAUUUUCAUUCUAGAAUUAUUUUUCUUCUCUUUUUUUCUUUUAAUUAUGAGUAGAAUACGGACCAAGUGAAACUACUCGAGUGAAAAGAUAUAAUUAUUGGAGUAUUAGUGCAAGACUUUGAUGAUAGUGGAUUUUCAAGUGCAAGAUAAUACGUCAAAUAUCUGGUUUUGGUAGGAUUUUAUGUGGAGUUGGAUUUAUUCGUCUUUUUCUGUCCAACAUUUGAGCAUAUGAUUGGGUGGGAGUGUUACCUCUAAUUUUUGACUAUAUGCAUUUAAUGUCAAUUUGGUAUGUCAUC
This 1259-nucleotide long non-coding RNA is filed under the name Trifolium pratense (red clover). RNAcentral's name for it is "long non-coding RNA (TPRA_LNC011870)". Lineage: Eukaryota; Viridiplantae; Streptophyta; Magnoliopsida; Fabales; Fabaceae. The record is from RNAcentral.